UUUACUGUGGCUCAAUUGGCAGUGCAUUGCGCUAACAAUGCAGAGGUCGUGGGUUCAAAUCCCAAGGAAAA
Danionella cerebrum is the source of this 71-nucleotide non-coding RNA. The record is from the annotation of a GenBank genome assembly. Lineage: Eukaryota; Metazoa; Chordata; Actinopteri; Cypriniformes; Danionidae.